Molecule: long non-coding RNA, 219 nt
Filed under: Carica papaya (papaya)
Lineage: Eukaryota; Viridiplantae; Streptophyta; Magnoliopsida; Brassicales; Caricaceae
Description: long non-coding RNA (CPAP_LNC012967)
Source: RNAcentral
AUGUUCAUUACUUAUCAGCAGGCUAGAGAAUAAAGGAGGGAUCUUCAUAAUCCUCUCCUCGUUCCUCUAAUGGGAGAUUAGCCAGAUCCUACACCUCCACUCCACCUCACAGGGUCUAGCUCCACUAACAAUGGACCGAUGUUAUAUUGAAAAGUACUGAAUCUAGUUUCAUUUACAGGAUCAUCUAUUUUCUAGAGGCUGAAAAGUAACUAAAGGCAA